GCUAAAUACAUUAGGCAGCAGGACUUGGCCUCAGAACCACUUUUUGUUCUAUUGCCAUGUCCAUUUGUUCAAGUUUUGAGUGUGAACUUGAUGCCCCACUGAGAUAUAACAAUGUUAUGCUGACUAACCCGAUAAUUGAUUGAUUGAUGAAUAUUACUAAAAGAUAUUUGUUUCUUUUUUCCUACACCAUCCACUCGAAGGAUAAGAGAUAGGUCCUACUUCCAAAGGAUCAGUGUUGCUAACACUAACUGAAUCAUGGAAUAUGUUUACACUCUCAGCACCAAGAAUUGCUAAUCUACCUGGAAAACAAUAACCCUGUCUGCUGAACUUAUGGUGGCCCUUAACCCUUCACAAAACCCACGUCCGCUUAUACAGCUGUUAUGAUAUCCCACUAUAUAUAUGAAGUUGCUUUAUGCUUUUAGCCCAUCGGUGUACAAUUUAUACGGUGGUUCAUGUGACAAAUCCUUGCAAAAUCUGCAUUCUUUUAGUCAAAAUUAAGAUUUUUACUUUCUUGAUUUUAAAUGAUUGUGCGUAUGGCAAGUUGUGGUUUUAACUUUGUUUUAAUAAUUUCAUGUUGACCCGCUAUGGUUAGGAGCUUGAUAUGGAUAUUAUAUGGAGCCUACUUGUAGUUAAAAAAAAUUAUUAUCGUUGUACUUCAAAGGAUUUAGAUCAAAGACUUUCUCACUGCUAUUUCUUUGAUACUAUAAAUUCUUGUUAUAUGUUAAUGACAUCAUUUAAGUUUAGAAAUAAGAAAUCUCAAUU
This 762-nucleotide long non-coding RNA is filed under the name Olea europaea (common olive). RNAcentral's name for it is "long non-coding RNA (OEUR_LNC012625)". Lineage: Eukaryota; Viridiplantae; Streptophyta; Magnoliopsida; Lamiales; Oleaceae. The record is from RNAcentral.